This 253-nucleotide ribosomal RNA is filed under the name uncultured prokaryote. Its description in RNAcentral is "partial 16S ribosomal RNA". It matches the Rfam family "Bacterial small subunit ribosomal RNA", at positions 525 to 777 of the family's 1533-position model. The record is from RNAcentral.
ACGGGGGAUCCAAGCGUUAUCCGGAAUCAUUGGGUUUAAAGGGUCCGUAGGCGGUUUAAUAAGUCAGUGGUGAAAGCCCAUCGCUCAACGAUGGAACGGCCAUUGAUACUGUUAGACUUGAAUUACUUGGAAGUAACUAGAAUAUGUAGUGUAGCGGUGAAAUGCUUAGAUAUUACAUGGAAUACCAAUUGCGAAGGCAGGUUACUACGAGUUUAUUGACGCUGAUGGACGAAAGCGUGGGGAGCGAACAGGA